Molecule: long non-coding RNA, 3431 nt
Organism: Limanda limanda (common dab)
Lineage: Eukaryota; Metazoa; Chordata; Actinopteri; Pleuronectiformes; Pleuronectidae
Exons: 2
Source: RefSeq, a predicted model, not a curated record
CCUUUCCUCUCCUAUCCGGGGGCAAGGACCGGGGGUCUGCAGGUGAUUCUCCGGACGUGUCCCCGGCCGCUGCGGCUCCUCGUCCCGGAGGUUACCCGGUGAUCUGUCGGUGACACAUUCAGCCCCCCCCCCAUCUGUUUACCAUUGUGUGCAGCUGCAGCUCGAACCUCAAACAUCUGCAGCGUCGCAGAGAAGAACUCGGUCCAAGAUGAUGCAGAUAAGAAACCAGCUGAAGCCGGGACUGAAGGAUCCUCCAGGACUGACUGCAGGAUCCUCCAGUACGACAGGAUCCUCCAGACAUUCGGAUCCUCCCUGGCACCACAGACAGACGUCUCCCACCACCAGAGAGAUUCGUGGAGGUAAAGAAUGAAGCAUCACUGACCCGAUGACCUCUUUGGGGACUUUGGGACACUGGAGCUCUCCUUCCUGCUGUAGCUGGGACAUCAGUCCUCUCUCCUCCACAGCAUCCGCUCUCAUCCUGGCCCUCUUCUGCAGAAUGAUCAUCAACAGGGACGUCUUCCAAGAUGGACUUCCGUCUCUCACACUCCGACUACGUCCACAUGUAACCUGGAGGUUCUACACUGGCUCUAUCUGUCUGGAAGUCUCCAUGAUUUGGGGAUUUUCAGUCAGAUUUAAGCGAGAUAGUUUUCAGGUCACACGUAAACGUAGUCACUAAGUUUUUACAGUAAAAUCCCACUGUUAUAGGACAAGAGCCGGUUGAUGAUGAACAAAUCAGCUGCUCCUCUAUUCUGCAAAGAAGGUAAAGACACAAGAUACUGUAGCAAAGAUCAAGGCCUGUGAUUAGAUCCGACUCACAGGGAGUUCUUCUGUAGUUUUUUGCACUACCUCAGUGCCGUAACAAGUCCAACAGGAGGGAGAGACGGGUGGGACCAGUACCUGAAGCUCAAUGGUUGUCAAGUACCACAGCAGAUUUAAAUAUUGUUCCCGGAUGAGUCUGGUUUUAGUGGUAUUGGAUCAACAUGUGAGGCUGUCGACUGGUGAACAGGAGCAAAACAACCCAAGCACAUGAUGCACAUUUACUUUAGAUUCAGCCACUUUGAGUAACGCCCUCAAACUGUGGUCUCCUAUGCAUCUGUUCUGAAGGAAGGUCACAAGGUCGUCUUUUCACCCCAUGCUCUCAUUUUGGCAUUUUGGGUUUAUUUAGUUCUCUUUGGUCAAGUCUGCAGGUUUAAUCAGUUUGACACAGACCUUGUGACUCGAGAUCCCAAAAAAUAUGGAAACUUAUAGUUUAGAAUGUGUCUUUUAUCUCAAAAGUCUCAUCCAGUUUUCUUUCUUUUCCCCUUAAAAAAACGUUUAUGUUCUCAUUUGAUCAUUUUCAUAUUCAUUGUUUAAAUUCUGCAAGUAGGGACAGAAUUGAUCCUUCGAUUCCUUUCAUUCCAUCAAUCAUGAGACAAAAUAUUAAGUGAAAACAGCUUUUUGAUGUGUCCAGUAAGUUGAGGAAACCAGUGCUGAAGUAGCAUCUAGCACUGGUUCUUACAUGAAGGAAACCCUGGCCCCAUUUCUUUCUUUCCUUUCACAUUUUUGUGAAAGAUUUACUUUAAAAAAUCAAAUUUUCCGGGAUUUGUGCAAUAUUUGAUCCUAACUGUCAUGUUGUUGACCAAACUGUAUAUUGUAUAAACAAGUGACAAGUUGUUUGAAAGCAACAAGAUCACCAAUGUCUUCCAUUAAGAUAUGUAUAGACUCAUGUGCAUUAACCAGCCUAUUUAGCGGGACUGUGAUGCCACAUUAUUGUAGCCAUGCAUGACCAGUAGUGAUGCUUGCUUUAUGACGAGUAGUGAAAUCAGUUUUCUAGACUAAGCUGGAGCUCAAAACUAUGGAAACCAUUUCAGUCAAAUUAAAGGGUUGUAGACUGACAUUCUAAAUCUUUAAAGACACCAAGUGGAGAAGCAGCUUGGCCUGUAAACACGAGAUAUGCAGUUCUUAAGUAUAUAAGUAAGUGUUGUUUUACUCUUCUUAGAACUUUUAUCUUUUAAAAAAAAGCUUUAGAGAUAUUCUAACAUAUUCGCAUGCACCAAAAGAAUUAGUAAAUUUUUGAAUAACAACCAUAAAGUUCCCAUGAAAGGAGUCUCAGACGUAAAUAUGACAGAAUACCUUAAUAAAAGAGUAUAACGUUCCUCCUGGAUUAGGAUCUAAUUGGCAGGUGGUGUUUCAGUCCUAGAAUAAAGAUCUCACCAUGACAUCGCAUUGUACAUAAUACCUCCUAGUUUUGGGAUUCAAAGUGUUAUAAUUCAAUCCAUACAAUUGUAUUUGAUUAGAGUUUUAGAAGCAAUAACCUACAAUAAUGCAUGAGUUCAGUGCCAGGGUGUAAGUGUUCAAAGGAUUCCCUGCCGUGCCGUGGAAAGGACCCCCCCCCCCACCUCUUUACGCUUAAUGUAGCCGUCUAUCUAUUGGUCACUUUUCUUUAGCUUUAGAAAACAGUAUCUCUUCUACAGGUCUGGGAUACUUCCUGCAGAACUACGUGCAUGUGAGGACUGCUGUAGCAGAACAGUAUUUACAAGUUUACCGAGACACUUAUAUUUUUCAGAGACUAUUUUCCCUGCUUUGUAUUUUUUCAAACACAAAAAAACAAUAAGGUAAACCAACAUGAGAGACGCUUUAAAGGAUAAUUCUUCUUCUUGUAGCAUUUUACAUCCAAAAAACCCCCGUUCCUUUAAAAAUCCAGAUUUCCAGUAACUCUGUAGCUGUGAAGUAAGUUUACUGAACUUGCUUGAAAGGCACUUUCUCUCUGUGCCGACUUGCACCAUCAUCCUCAACGUCCCGUCUUGAAAACUGUAAACUAAAAACCCUGUGAUGCUCUUUGUGGGGAUUUAUAAUCGCAAUUUAUAAGCAAGUAGGCGUCUAGCGACUUGAAUAUAUGGGUACAAAAAAUAUGCAUGACUAAGCAGAAUAAAGAAUGAUUUGUAUUGCAUGCAAUAAUCCAACUUUGUAAUGUGAAUGGGUGUAAGUAGGAUGUUGAAAUGUUCAUGUCAGGUGUUCUGUGACAAGGGGACGGUUGUUUGAUUCUACUUGAGGAGCGUUGAGGGAGUUUGGAUCAUCGUGGUUUUCACAGACUGCUCAGCACCAAAAAGAAACAGUGGAGUGUUUCAAGUGUUUCUGCUCUCACUCUCUCUGCUGAGUCAAACGUAACCAUGGCAGCGUUGCCACAGGGCAGCUCAACAACCCCGAUCAACCUUUGUUCCCACGGAAAAAAACAACAACACACAUAUAUAAGCCUGGGUAAGAUUAAUGAUGUUACUUUGUUUGAUCAACUUUUCCACCGAGGGGGUGGACUGUGUGGAAACUAUGCACCUCAGACGGAGGAAGUGGGCAUGCUUAUUAUGUGUAGGCCUCUUGUCUGGUUUUGUAUUAACAAAGGAAAAAAAAAAGAAUCUGUAUCAGAAAUUCAGCAAUAAAAUGCAGCAUGGUGCCAA